Molecule: ribosomal RNA, 491 nt
Filed under: uncultured bacterium
Lineage: Bacteria
Description: partial 16S ribosomal RNA
Rfam family: Bacterial small subunit ribosomal RNA
Source: RNAcentral
AGUGAACGCUGGCGGUAGGCCUAACACAUGCCAGUCGAACGGCAGCACAGUAAGAGCUUGCUCUUACGGGUGGCGAGUGGCGGACGGGUGAGGAAUACAUCGGAAUCUACUUUUUCGUGGGGGAUAACGUAGGGAAACUUACGCAAAUACCGCAUACGACCUACGGGUGAAAGCAGGGGAUCUUCGGACCUUGCGCGAUUGAAUGAGCCGAUGUCGGAUUAGCUAGUUGGCGGGGUAAAGGCCCACCAAGGCGACGAUCCGUAGCUGGUCUGAGAGGAUGAUCAGCCACACUGGAGCUGAGACACGGUCCAGCCUCCUACGGGAGGCAGCAGUGGGGAAUAUUGGACAAUGGGCGCAAGCCUGAUCCAGCCAUACCGCGUGGGUGAAGAAGGCCUUCGGGUUGUAAAGCCCUUUUGUUGGGAAAGAAAAGCAGCAGGUUAAUACCCCGCUGUUCUGACGGUACCCAAAGAAUAAGCACCGGCUAACUUCGU